CGAGAUCGAGAGAUGGAGCAAAUCCCAAAAAUAACGUCCCAGUUCGGACUGUAGUCUGCAACCCGACUACACGAAGCUGGAAUCGCUAGUAAUCGCGGAUCAGAAUGCCGCGGUGAAUACGUUCCCGGGUCUUGUACACACCGCCCGUCACACCAUGGGAGUCAGUAACGCCCGAAGUCAGUGACCUAACCGAAAGGGAGGAGCUGCCGAAGGCGGGACGGAUGACUGGGGUGAAGUCGUAACAAGGUAGC
This 251-nucleotide ribosomal RNA is filed under the name uncultured bacterium. RNAcentral describes it as "partial 16S ribosomal RNA". It matches the Rfam family "Bacterial small subunit ribosomal RNA", at positions 1250 to 1500 of the family's 1533-position model. The record is from RNAcentral.